RNAcentral lists this long non-coding RNA (402 nucleotides) under Fukomys damarensis (Damara mole-rat). RNAcentral's name for it is "lncRNA (ENSFDAG00000027904.1)". Lineage: Eukaryota; Metazoa; Chordata; Mammalia; Rodentia; Bathyergidae. The record is from RNAcentral.
AUGCCAUGCAGUCGGGGACUUGGCCCUCGGUGGCUGCUCUGGCUGGAAGAGGAAGAGGAGGAAUGGGGUGUGCCUGGCCCUGAAUACCCUGCAGAGGGGUGCAAGGAACCUCUGUCCGAGCCCGCCUGGACUCUGGCUUCACCCUGCCAGGGAUGCGGCGGGGUCUGGACCAUGAGGACCUCUCUCUGGAAGAGAACCUGGUGUGUCUGCAUCGCUGCUGCAGGGAAGACAGCUCGGUGGCCUUCGUCUUCGGGGACACGGCCCAGCCUGGGAGCCGGGCUGGCACCGGCCUUCUGGGGUGAUCGAGCAGGGGCAGCAUGCCAGCUUCCCAGAGCCGGGCCCGCGCCCGGGACCGCAACAACGUCCUCAACCGGGCCGAGUUCCUGUCCCUGAGCCAGCCCC